Molecule: ribosomal RNA, 534 nt
Filed under: Triticum aestivum (bread wheat)
Lineage: Eukaryota; Viridiplantae; Streptophyta; Magnoliopsida; Poales; Poaceae
Description: partial small subunit ribosomal RNA
Source: RNAcentral
AUGAUUAUGGGGCCAGAAUUUGUGAAGCAAAAGAAAUCGGAGCAGUUCAUUCAAAUAUCGAAAAAAAAUAAGGAAAAUGCGGCUAAGAAGGAGUACAAUCAUAUUAUGGGGCCAGGAGGGUAUCGCCUUUGGGAGCCUAGGUGGGAGAAGAUGGAGAACGAGCUGAGGGCGCGAGGAAUCCGUCCAGGUACGGAGGGAUGGGACCCAAGGGCCAAAAGCUGGUGGUACGGGCAUGGGGGAACGCUGAACCCGGAGACAGGGGAGUGUGUUUACCGGGGCAAAAUAAUUAAACCCACCCAAGCCCUUAUUGACGCAAUGAGGGAUGCUCAAGAGGGGAAGAUCAAGUUCAACAGAGAGAACGACGCGCUAACAAAAGCCCUCGGGAAUCCUGAACACGGAGGACGUGUACGAGGCAUGGGGGACAUUCCGUGGAAAAUAGGGUUCCCCCAGAACGAUGACCCGUACGGUUACAGAAGCCGGAAGAGAAAGAUGGAUCGGGAAGCAGAUAUUGCCUGCACUAUAUAUAUGUCCUAA